AUUUACAAAAAUACAUGUCUUUCUAGAAAGAGAUUGUCUGAGGAUGGCUUUCCAGUCCCUGUUCCACACUGAAGCCAGCUGGCCUGUUUAUUCACACAUGAAGUUUGAAUUUGAGGAACAUACAUGUUCUUCACUGUCAUGAAUCCUCAUCUUUCUUAGGAAUUGUUGAAGACACCUGAAUUUGCCAUUCUGCAGUCUAUGCACCCUUAUUGUAUGAGAGGAGGACCUAAGUACCCUGCAAACCCAGUCUUGUGUUCUUGGAUGGCUUGGAAAAAGGUACACAUGGAGACCGCCAUGUUGAGGAGCCUCCCGAUGAACCUGCUGCUUCUGCAACCUCUCACUGCAAUCCCUUCGCCUAGGAAAGGCUGUGGCUUUUAUCUAAGGCACCUCUGCCCCAUCUGAAUUAAAUGAAUGAAUUAAAUCACCAUCAAAAACGA
Molecule: long non-coding RNA, 437 nt
Organism: Mesocricetus auratus (golden hamster)
Lineage: Eukaryota; Metazoa; Chordata; Mammalia; Rodentia; Cricetidae
Exons: 2
Source: RefSeq, a predicted model, not a curated record